CGGCGAUAGAGAAGCAGGGACGAAGAAAAGGGGAUAGAUCUACCCUCUCCUUCAGCGAUGACAGUCGUUUUCUUACCCGAAGUUGCAGGAAAAAAAAUGUAAUAGAGAGGCCUCAGAUGAUCAUCUUCCAUUAAUAGAAGAAGCCAGCAUGAUGUCAGCUGUUAGGGGAGCGGUGUACAACGAAAGGUCUAGAGCGAUGUGAUAUGUAUGAAGCUACAAAUACUUCAUUGAAAUAAGAUCUGUGUCGUUGGUUGUGAUGUAUUGUGCAUUUUUGGGAACUAUUAAGGUUUAUCUGAGUUAUGUUUGCAAUGACUGUAGAUGUGAACAUUGAAAUAUAUCUGAAGGGAUGUAAUGUUGAUAUUAAGACAUAUUUAUGUGUAAUUAUUUUUGUUGAUAUUGUUAUGAAUGAUUUAUUUUGGAGAU
Molecule: non-coding RNA, 423 nt
Organism: Erythranthe guttata (spotted monkey flower)
Lineage: Eukaryota; Viridiplantae; Streptophyta; Magnoliopsida; Lamiales; Phrymaceae
Source: RefSeq, a predicted model, not a curated record